This 942-nucleotide ribosomal RNA is filed under the name Salmonella enterica. Its description in RNAcentral is "partial 23S ribosomal RNA". It matches the Rfam family "Bacterial large subunit ribosomal RNA", at positions 1217 to 2141 of the family's 2925-position model. Lineage: Bacteria; Pseudomonadati; Pseudomonadota; Gammaproteobacteria; Enterobacterales; Enterobacteriaceae. The record is from RNAcentral. RNAcentral also lists the same sequence under 1 other name.
UGUGUUGUUGGGUAGGGGAGCGUUCUGUAAGCCUGUGAAGGUGUGUCGUGAGGCAUGCUGGAGGUAUCAGAAGUGCGAAUGCUGACAUAAGUAACGAUAAAGCGGGUGAAAAGCCCGCUCGCCGGAAGACCAAGGGUUCCUGUCCAACGUUAAUCGGGGCAGGGUGAGUCGACCCCUAAGGCGAGGCCGAAAGGCGUAGUCGAUGGGAAACGGGUUAAUAUUCCCGUACUUGGUGUUACUGCGAAGGGGGGACGGAGAAGGCUAUGUUGGCCGGGCGACGGUUGUCCCGGUUUAAGCGUGUAGGUGUGUGUUCCAGGUAAAUCCGGUUCACUUUAACACUGAGGCGUGACGACGAGGCACUACGGUGCUGAAGCAACAAAUGCCCUGCUUCCAGGAAAAGCCUCUAAGCAUCAGGUAACAUCAAAUCGUACCCCAAACCGACACAGGUGGUCAGGUAGAGAAUACCAAGGCGCUUGAGAGAACUCGGGUGAAGGAACUAGGCAAAAUGGUGCCGUAACUUCGGGAGAAGGCACGCUGACACGUAGGUGAAGUGAUUUACUCAUGGAGCUGAAGUCAGUCGAAGAUACCAGCUGGCUGCAACUGUUUAUUAAAAACACAGCACUGUGCAAACACGAAAGUGGACGUAUACGGUGUGACGCCUGCCCGGUGCCGGAAGGUUAAUUGAUGGGGUCAGCGCAAGCGAAGCUCCUGAUCGAAGCCCCGGUAAACGGCGGCCGUAACUAUAACGGUCCUAAGGUAGCGAAAUUCCUUGUCGGGUAAGUUCCGACCUGCACGAAUGGCGUAAUGAUGGCCAGGCUGUCUCCACCCGAGACUCAGUGAAAUUGAACUCGCUGUGAAGAUGCAGUGUACCCGCGGCAAGACGGAAAGACCCCGUGAACCUUUACUAUAGCUUGACACUGAACAUUGAGCCUUGAUGUGUAG